GGCACACAGUAUUUUUUCUAUUCACGUUUCAAACACUGACUUCGCCAAACUUGCUUUGUUUUCCUGGGGCUAUUUUCUGGCGGUUAGCACUUGGCUGAUAGGUAGCUUCGAGCGUGCUGACGUCACCGGGUUGCCGUAGAGCUAGUAGCGAUGGGGACACCGUUGCCCUGGCGACAGCGCUCAUAAGUUAUCGGCGAUUGCUAGCUGCUGUAUGAACUUUAACGCUGCAGAAAAGGCUUCAGCAGACAGGGGGGGUAGCUGUUACCCCGACGACAGCACACACAAGUCAUCCGUGCCAGCGAGCAUCUGUUUGAAACGCUCCGUAUACGGCUCGGAGUGCCGCUAACACGCUCCAAAACGUAGUCACAUAUGGCUUCUUCACUGGUGCCCGACUUUUCAUCGGUUAUGGUGGUUCUGGAGCGUUUAAAGGAGCUGGACGAAUACCUGAAAGAGGAGGAGGUACCGUUCGCACCUGAGGCCAGCCUCCACCUGAUGGAGAUAACGACUGCUGUCAGCGAGCUGGAGGCAGACAGGCGUGCUGCUCGUGAACACUUGGAAGUGGAAAGCAUAGAAAACAGCAAACUGAGA
Molecule: long non-coding RNA, 588 nt
Organism: Astatotilapia calliptera (eastern happy)
Lineage: Eukaryota; Metazoa; Chordata; Actinopteri; Cichliformes; Cichlidae
Source: Ensembl